Non-coding RNA from Treponema berlinense, 73 nucleotides. NCBI's taxonomy places the organism in Bacteria, Pseudomonadati, Spirochaetota, Spirochaetia, Treponematales, Treponemataceae. The record is from Rfam.
GCUCUUGUAGCUCAGUAGGCAGAGCACAUCGUUGGUAACGAUGAGGUCAGCGGUCCGAUUCCGCUCGAGAGCU